UACGGAGGAUGCAAGCGUUAUCCGGAAUGAUUGGGCGUAAAGCGUCCGCAGGUGGUAUUUCAAGUCUGCUGUCAAAGAGUUUGGCUCAACCAAAUAAGGGCAGUGGAGACUGAAAAACUAGAGUGCGAUAGGGGUAGAGGGAAUUCCUGGUGUAGCGGUGAAAUGCGUAGAGAUCAGGAAGAACACCGGUGGCGAAAGCGCUCUACUAGGUCGUUACUGACACUGAGGUGCGAAAGCGUGGGGAGCAAACAGG
Molecule: ribosomal RNA, 253 nt
Filed under: uncultured bacterium
Lineage: Bacteria
Description: partial 16S ribosomal RNA
Rfam family: Bacterial small subunit ribosomal RNA
Source: RNAcentral